UGGGGAAUUUUGCACAAUGGGCGCAAGCCUGAUGCAGCCAUGCCGCGUGUAUGAAGAAGGCCUUCGGGUUGUAAAGUACUUUCAGCGGGGAGGAAGGGAGUAAAGUUAAUACCUUUGCUCAUUGACGUUACCCGCAGAAGAAGCACUGGCUAACUCCGUGCCAGCAGCCGCGGUAAUACGGUGGGUGCAAGCGUUAAUCGGAAUUAUUGUGCGUUAAGCGCACGCAUGCGGUUUGUUAAGGCAGAUGUGAAAUCCCCGGGCUCAACCAGAGAACUGCAUCUGAAACUUGCAAGCUUGAGUAUAGUAGAGGGGGGUAGAAUUCCAGGUGUAGCGGUGAAAAGCGUAGAGAUCUGGAGGAAUACCGGUGGCGAAGGCAGCCCCCUGGACGAAGACUGACGCUCAGGUGCGAAAGCAUGGGGAGCAAACAGG
RNAcentral lists this ribosomal RNA (429 nucleotides) under Chloroflexota bacterium. RNAcentral's name for it is "Chloroflexi bacterium partial 16S ribosomal RNA". It matches the Rfam family "Bacterial small subunit ribosomal RNA", at positions 355 to 776 of the family's 1533-position model. The record is from RNAcentral. Lineage: Bacteria; Bacillati; Chloroflexota.